GUACACCAUAAUAUAUGCACUUCAGCAGUACAUACUACACAGAGAAGAUUAGCAUGGCUUCUGGUCAAGGGUGACAUGUAAUUUAUGAAGUGUUCCUUAUUUUU
Molecule: small nuclear RNA, 104 nt
Organism: Antechinus flavipes (yellow-footed antechinus)
Lineage: Eukaryota; Metazoa; Chordata; Mammalia; Dasyuromorphia; Dasyuridae
Source: RefSeq, a predicted model, not a curated record